GGUCAAGUGAAGAAGCGCAUACGGUGGAUGCCUUGGCAGUCAGAGGCGAUGAAAGACGUGGUAGCCUGCGAAAAGCUUCGGGGAGUCGGCAAACAGACUUUGAUCCGGAGAUGUCUGAAUGGGGGAACCCAGCCAUCAUAAGAUGGUUAUCUUGUACUGAAUACAUAGGUGCAAGAGGCGAACCAGGGGAACUGAAACAUCUAAGUACCCUGAGGAAAAGAAAUCAACCGAGAUUCCCUUAGUAGUGGCGAGCGAACGGGGACUAGCCCUUAAGUGGCUUUGAGAUUAGCGGAACGCUCUGGAAAGUGCGGCCAUAGUGGGUGAUAGCCCUGUACGCGAAAAUCUCUUAGUCAUGAAAUCGAGUAGGACGGAGCACGAGAAACUUUGUCUGAAUAUGGGGGGACCAUCCUCCAAGGCUAAAUACUACUGACUGACCGAUAGUGAACUAGUACCGUGAGGGAAAGGCGAAAAGAACCCCGGAGAGGGGAGUGAAAUAGAUCCUGAAACCGUAUGCGUACAAGCAGUGGGAGCCCACUUUGUUGGGUGACUGCGUACCUUUUGUAUAAUGGGUCAGCGACUUAUUUUCAGUGGCGAGCUUAACCGAAUAGGGGAGGCGUAGCGAAAGCGAGUCUUAAUAGGGCGUCUAGUCGCUGGGAAUAGACCCGAAACCGGGCGAUCUAUCCAUGGGCAGGUUGAAGGUUGGGUAACACUAACUGGAGGACCGAACCGACUACCGUUGAAAAGUUAGCGGAUGACCUGUGGAUCGGAGUGAAAGGCUAAUCAAGCUCGGAGAUAGCUGGUUCUCCUCGAAAGCUAUUUAGGUAGCGCCUCAUGUAUCACUGUAGGGGGUAGAGCACUGUUUCGGCUAGGGGGUCAUCCCGACUUACCAAACCGAAGCAAACUCCGAAUACCUACAAGUGCCGAGCAUGGGAGACACACGGCGGGUGCUAACGUCCGUCGUGAAAAGGGAAACAACCCAGACCGUCAGCUAAGGUCCCAAAGUUAUGGUUAAGUGGGAAACGAUGUGGGAAGGCUUAGACAGCUAGGAGGUUGGCUUAGAAGCAGCCACCCUUUAAAGAAAGCGUAAUAGCUCACUAGUCGAGUCGGCCUGCGCGGAAGAUGUAACGGGGCUCAAACCAUACACCGAAGCUACGGGUAUCACGUAAGUGAUGCGGUAGAGGAGCGUUCUGUAAGCCUGUGAAGGUGAGUUGAGAAGCUUGCUGGAGGUAUCAGAAGUGCGAAUGCUGACAUGAGUAACGACAAUGGGUGUGAAAAACACCCACGCCGAAAGACCAAGGUUUCCUGCGCAACGUUAAUCGACGCAGGGUUAGUCGGUCCCUAAGGCGAGGCUGAAAAGCGUAGUCGAUGGAAAACAGGUUAAUAUUCCUGUACUUCUGGUUAUUGCGAUGGAGGGACGGAGAAGGCUAGGCCAGCUUGGCGUUGGUUGUCCAAGUUUAAGGUGGUAGGCUGAGAUCUUAGGUAAAUCCGGGAUCUUAAGGCCGAGAGCUGAUGACGAGUCAUCUUUUAGAUGACGAAGUGGUUGAUGCCAUGCUUCCAAGAAAAGCUUCUAAGCUUCAGGUAACCAGGAACCGUACCCCAAACCGACACAGGUGGUUGGGUAGAGAAUACCAAGGCGCUUGAGAGAACUCGGGUGAAGGAACUAGGCAAAAUGGCACCGUAACUUCGGGAGAAGGUGCGCCGGUGAGGGUGAAGGACUUGCUCCGUAAGCUCAUGCCGGUCGAAGAUACCAGGCCGCUGCGACUGUUUAUUAAAAACACAGCACUCUGCAAACACGAAAGUGGACGUAUAGGGUGUGACGCCUGCCCGGUGCCGGAAGGUUAAUUGAUGGGGUUAGCUAACGCGAAGCUCUUGAUCGAAGCCCCGGUAAACGGCGGCCGUAACUAUAACGGUCCUAAGGUAGCGAAAUUCCUUGUCGGGUAAGUUCCGACCUGCACGAAUGGCGUAACGAUGGCGGCGCUGUCUCCACCCGAGACUCAGUGAAAUUGAAAUCGCUGUGAAGAUGCAGUGUAUCCGCGGCUAGACGGAAAGACCCCGUGAACCUUUACUAUAGCUUUGCACUGGACUUUGAAUUUGCUUGUGUAGGAUAGGUGGGAGGCUUUGAAGCGUGGACGCCAGUCUGCGUGGAGCCAUCCUUGAAAUACCACCCUGGCAACUUUGAGGUUCUAACUCAGGUCCGUUAUCCGGAUCGAGGACAGUGUAUGGUGGGUAGUUUGACUGGGGCGGUCUCCUCCUAAAGAGUAACGGAGGAGUACGAAGGUGCGCUCAGACCGGUCGGAAAUCGGUCGUAGAGUAUAAAGGCAAAAGCGCGCUUGACUGCGAGACAGACACGUCGAGCAGGUACGAAAGUAGGUCUUAGUGAUCCGGUGGUUCUGUAUGGAAGGGCCAUCGCUCAACGGAUAAAAGGUACUCCGGGGAUAACAGGCUGAUUACCGCCCAAGAAGUUCAUAUCGACGGCGGUGUUUGGCACCUCGAUGUCGGCUCAUCACAUCCUGGGGCUGAAGCCGGUCCCAAGGGUAUGGCUGUUCGCCAUUUAAAGUGGUACGCGAGCUGGGUUUAGAACGUCGUGAGACAGUUCGGUCCCUAUCUGCCGUGGACGUUUGAGAUUUGAGAGGGGCUGCUCCUAGUACGAGAGGACCGGAGUGGACGAACCUCUGGUGUUCCGGUUGUCACGCCAGUGGCAUUGCCGGGUAGCUAUGUUCGGAAUAGAUAACCGCUGAAAGCAUCUAAGCGGGAAACUAGCCUCAAGAUGAGAUCUCACUGGAACCUUGAGUUCCCUGAAGGGCCGUCGAAGACUACGACGUUGAUAGGUUGGGUGUGUAAGCGCUGUGAGGCGUUGAGCUAACCAAUACUAAUUGCCCGUGAGGCUUGACCAU
RNAcentral lists this ribosomal RNA (2894 nucleotides) under Pseudomonas sp. FP2254. Its description in RNAcentral is "23S ribosomal RNA". It matches the Rfam family "Bacterial large subunit ribosomal RNA". Lineage: Bacteria; Pseudomonadati; Pseudomonadota; Gammaproteobacteria; Pseudomonadales; Pseudomonadaceae. The record is from RNAcentral.